UUCGUCGCAUGUGUCAGAUCUGGAUGUUUAUUUUCUUUCCAUGGCAUUUCCCGCGGUGGCACACUCGACGCGUGUGCAGCGAUUCAAAUCUUUGCGCGAUAUUUCACAUUAUAUAAUUUAAUCAUCUUCAAACACCGACGCGUUAAUUAUUCCCAACUGGGAGUGUGGUGUAUCAAAAAUAGGAAUGCACUUUAGGGAUACCAAUACGAACUCGGAGGCAGAAGCGAAACUGUAUUAAUAGUAAUGGAUGAUGAUCAGUCAAGGCAAGAUGUACGUCAAAGAAUUUGGAAAACACCGAAAGAAGGUCAACGCAGAGAAUACAUCAAAGGGUCCACCCACUCAUUUCCAGCAUCAUGGUCCUGGCACGACACGGGAACAAUUUAAUUAAAUGGCGGCAACAUGUAUACCUUCCAUAAACAGAAAGGGGGUGUCGUCGUUUCAACAAUAUAAUUCAAUUUGUGUAUGUAUUGACUGCAUUUUUUGUAUAUACAUUUAAACAAAAACAUCUUUCAAUGAUUUUUUUUUAAUUCGAUUUGAAAUGAAAAAAAAAAAUAUUCUGUUCAUUUGAUUUGAGUUUUGUAAAUUGUGUAAUAGAAAGUCGACAAUAAAAGUCAAUAGGAAAAUAUAGUAUAUAAUUACAAUAUUUUUUUUUAUUGUAAAAUUCUUAUUUAAGUGUGAUAAAUUAUGAUCUUAUAUCAUCACUUUCUCUUUAUUUAAUUCUUAACAAUUCAAUGCAUCGAAAAACGAUGUACUAGAUUUAAAUUCUAUUCGCGAAGAAGAUUCGCACAAGAAUUGGUUUUGUGUCCUAUUCGAUGUCGUCAGGUCAUCUCAAACGAGGAGCCAUAAAUUUUCCAUUGUAUAUCCGUAUAAGCAGACACAUGAUGUGAGUUACACCUCGAUAAAUUGCUAA
Leptopilina boulardi is the source of this 910-nucleotide long non-coding RNA. RefSeq lists it as uncharacterized. Lineage: Eukaryota; Metazoa; Arthropoda; Insecta; Hymenoptera; Figitidae. The transcript is spliced from 3 exons. The record is from RefSeq and is a predicted model, not a curated record.